This 235-nucleotide long non-coding RNA is filed under the name Malus domestica (apple). Its description in RNAcentral is "long non-coding RNA (MDOM_LNC013589)". The record is from RNAcentral. Lineage: Eukaryota; Viridiplantae; Streptophyta; Magnoliopsida; Rosales; Rosaceae.
GAAGCUUUUAUGGGUGAAGCUUUUAUGGGUGAAGCUUUUGUUGGUGAAGCUUUUAUGGGUGAAGCUUUUGUGGGUGAAGCUUUUGUGUUGAAGCUUUGUAGGUGAAGCUUUGGAGUUGAAGCUUUGUAGGUGAAGCUUUUGUGUUGAAGCUUUUGUAGGUGAAACUUUUGUGUUGAAGCUUUUGUAGGUGAAGCUUUGGAGUUGAAGCUUUGUAGGUGAAGCUUUGGAGUUGAAG